Molecule: long non-coding RNA, 1336 nt
Filed under: Equus caballus (horse)
Lineage: Eukaryota; Metazoa; Chordata; Mammalia; Perissodactyla; Equidae
Description: lncRNA (ENSECAG00000058087.1)
Source: RNAcentral
CUGGAGGAAAGUGUGGGAUUAAGAAAUAGUUUUUUGGGAGAAAUAAAAUCAUGUUAUAAUGGGGAGGGAAUUGUCCAGUAGAGAGGAAACAUUUGAUGAUGGAGGAGCAAGAGGGGGCACUUGCUAGAGUGAGAUCCCUGAGUAGGUGAGAAAGGGCGUGUCCAGGGCACAAGGGAGGGACUGGCUUUGGGUCAAAGCACAGAUGGUUCGUUUACGUUAAUGGGACAGAGAGCAGAAGUGUGAGUCCGGAUUCAAGAAGAUAGGCAGAAGUUAUGUUGGGAGGGUAUAGAAAUUCUCUUCUGAUUAAUUCUCUUUUUUUGGCAAGAUAGGAAGUGGAUUCAUCAACAGAAAUUGAGGAUAAAGACCAUGGUGUUGCAGUCAGUCUAGUUCCAAUCAUAAUGGUCUCUAGUCACAAGUAAACAGCCAUACCAAUCCAAACUAGCUGAAUCUGAGGUUUCAAGAGAGGGGUUGCUAUGAACGCAAAUUCCCCCUGCCCCAAAUAUAUAUGAUGAAGCCCUAACACCCAACGUGGUGGCAUUUGGAGAGAAGGGCUUUGGGAGGUAAUUAGAUUUAGGUGAGGGCGUGAGGGUGGGGCUUUUGUGAUGAGAUUAGUGCCCUUAUGAGAGGAAACACCAGAGAGCUUGCUCUCAAUUUCUCUCUGCCAAGUGAUGACACAGGGAGAAGGUGGCCAUCUGCAAGCCGGGAAGAGGGCUCUCACCAGAACUACACCAUUGUAGGCGCCCUGAUCUUGGACUUUCCAGCCUCCAGCACUGAGAAGGAGAUUUGGAGACACAGACACCCAGGGAAGAAGGCCAUGUGGAGACACAGGCAGAGACUGGAGUUAUGAUGCCACAAGCCAAGGAGCACCAAGAAUUGCCAUCAACUACCAGAAGCUAGAAGAGCACAAAGGAAGUAGGUGAGAGCAAAGCUGUAUUGGAGUAAAGAAGAGACACCAGAUGGUAACUCGAAUCCACAGGAACAAAUGAAGAGGAUCAGAAAUGAAGGGGGAAAUUUGGACACAGACCUGCACACGGGGAGAAGGUGAUGUGACUUGAAGACUGGAGCCAAGCAACUAACUACCAGAAGCAAGGAGACGGACUUGGACCUGAUCCUUCCCCAGCGCCUUCAGAGGGAAUGCAGCCCUGCCGACACCUUGACCACGGACUUCUAGCUUCCAGAACUGAGAGACAAUAAGCUUUUGUUGUUUAAGCCACUUGGUUUGUGAGUACCUUGUUAUGGCAGCCCUCGCAAACUAAUACACUCAUAAUGCUAUUUCCAAGUCAUAACAACUGUUAAUUUUUUAGUUUAUCUUCUUCCAGUUUCAUAUCUAUAAAUC